GGACCCGCACAAGUAGUGGGAGCAUGUGGUUUAAUUCGAAGAUACGCGCAGAACCUUACCAACACUUGACAUGUUCGUCGCGACUUUAAGAGAUUAAAGUUUUCGGUUCGGCCGGACGAAACACAGGUGCUGCAUGGCUGUCGUCAGCUCGUGUCGUGAGAUGUUGGGUUAAGUCCCGCAACGAGCGCAACCCUCACUUUUAGUUGCCAUCAUUUAGUUGGGCACUCUGAAAGAACUGCCAGUGAUAAGCUGGAGGAAGGUGGGGAUGACGUCAAGUCCUCAUGGCCCUUACGUGUUGGGCUACACACGUGCUACAAUGGUAUCUACAAUAGGAAGCAAGAUGGCGACAUCAAGCAAAUCCUAAAAAGAUGCCUCAGUUCGGAUUGCACUCUGCAACUCGAGUGCAUGAAGCUGGAAUU
Molecule: ribosomal RNA, 419 nt
Filed under: uncultured bacterium
Lineage: Bacteria
Description: bacterial SSU rRNA
Rfam family: Bacterial small subunit ribosomal RNA
Source: RNAcentral